AUGCUGCAUGGGCGGCGCGCGCGGGGAGACCAAGCGGUUGGAGCACGCCCCAGCCGUGGACGUUGUAGACCGCUGAGAAGAGAUUGGCCGACCCCGCAGACGACGUUGUCGUGCUGGAUGCCAGGGAGAUGGCGGCGCCAAGCAGCUCCCGGCGACGGCAGCCAGAACGGCACAGCCGCCUGCUCCGUGGUGGCUGCCGCUUACCUUGUCAUAAAUGCCCCACGGCGGCCCUGGCACCAGUUCCGCUUGAGCAGCGCGACGCAGACCAGUGAGGAAGCUUUGGUGGGUGGCAACAGUGCUGCUCAGACUACCCACAGUGGGACUAACAUAGGUAGUAAUAUCACACAUAUCUAG
RNAcentral lists this ribosomal RNA (354 nucleotides) under Triticum aestivum (bread wheat). RNAcentral's name for it is "partial small subunit ribosomal RNA". The record is from RNAcentral. Lineage: Eukaryota; Viridiplantae; Streptophyta; Magnoliopsida; Poales; Poaceae.